This 209-nucleotide long non-coding RNA is filed under the name Gossypium raimondii (Peruvian cotton). RNAcentral's name for it is "long non-coding RNA (GRAI_LNC010982)". The record is from RNAcentral. Lineage: Eukaryota; Viridiplantae; Streptophyta; Magnoliopsida; Malvales; Malvaceae.
CCACCGGUUUUGGAUGAAAAAAAUGCUAGAAUAUUUAGAAACAAGCCUUCUCCUCCAGCCGUUUAUGUUCUGAAAACCAAGUCUGAGCUGUUAGUAGAUCAAGCUGUCGUUUUGCUAACACCUAUUAGAGAAAAUAGGAAAUUAUGAAGAAUUUCCAUGGGCAAAUCAUUCACGUAUACAGAUAAAAAAUAUAUACAUUAUAUAUCGAU